This 502-nucleotide ribosomal RNA is filed under the name uncultured bacterium. RNAcentral describes it as "bacterial SSU rRNA". It matches the Rfam family "Bacterial small subunit ribosomal RNA", at positions 30 to 527 of the family's 1533-position model. The record is from RNAcentral.
AUUGAACGCUGGCGGCAUGCCUUACACAUGCAAGUCGAACGGUAACGGGCCUUCGGGUGCCGACGAGUGGCGAACGGGUGAGUAAUGCAUCGGAACGUACCUUUCAGUGGGGGAUAACGUAGCGAAAGUUACGCUAAUACCGCAUAUUCUGUGAGCAGGAAAGUGGGGGAUCGCAAGACCUCACGUUAUAGGAGCGGCCGAUGUCCGAUUAGCUAGUUGGUGGGGUAAAGGCCUACCAAGGCGACGAUCGGUAGCUGGUCUGAGAGGAUGAUCAGCCACACUGGGACUGAGACACGGCCCAGACUCCUACGGGAGGCAGCAGUCGGGAAUAUUGGACAAUGGGGGAAACCCUGAUCCAGCAAUACCGCGUGUGUGAAGAAGGCCUGCGGGUUGUAAACUGCUUUUGUCAGGGAAGAAAUCUUCUGGGCUAAUACCCCGGGAGGAUGACGGUACCUGAAGAAUAAGCACCGGCUAACUACGUGCCAGCAGCCGCGGUAAAGAG